UCUGGUUGAUCCUGCCUGAACUGAUGUGUUCAUUUCAAAGAUUAAGCCAUGCAUGUGUAAGUUUAACCUGCCAGACAGGGAAACUGCGUACGGCUCAUUACACCAGCUAUAAUUUACUUGACCUUGACUUCUUACUUGGAUAACUGUGGUAAUUCUAGAGCUAAUACAUGCACCAAAGCUCCAAUCUCCCCAGAGCGGAGCGCAUUUGUUCGCCACAAAACCAAGCGCCCUCCGGGCGUCCAGUGUUGACUCAGAACAACUAAGCUGAUCGCACGGUCUUGUACCGGCGACGUGUCUUUCAAGUGUCUGCCUUAUCAACUUUCGAUGGUAGUGUAUCUGACUACCAUGGUGAUGACGGGUAACGGAGGAUAAGGGUUCGACUCCGGAGAAGGGGCCUGAGAAAUGGCCACUACGUCUAAGGAUGGCAGCAGGCGCGCAAAUUACCCACUCUCAACGCGAGGAGGUAGUGACGAGAAAUAACGAGACCGAUCUCUUAUGAGGCCGGUCAUCGGAAUGGGUACAAUUUAAACCCUUUAACGAGUAUCUAUGAGAGGGCAAGUCUGGUGCCAGCAGCCGCGGUAAUUCCAGCUCUCAAAAUGCAUAGAAUUAUUGCUGCGGUUAAAAAGCUCGUAGUUGGAUCUGUGCUAGCCGUCCGGUGCACACUUUGUGUGUUACUGGUUUGGUUGGCUUUUCUGCCGGUCUCUCCCCGGCGUUGGCCUUUACCGGUCGGCGUCGGUGGGCUGGCGAGUUUACUUUGAACAAAUCAGAGUGCUUCAAACAGGCGUUUCGCUUGAAUGUUCGUGCAUGGAAUAAUAGAAGAGGAUUUCGGUCCGAUUUUAUUGGUUUUGCUGACCGAGAUAAUGGUUAACAGAGACAAACGGGGCCAUUCGUAUUGCUACGUGAGAGGUGAAAUUCUUGGACCGUAGCAAGACGGACUACAGCGAAAGCAUUUGGCAAGAAUGUCUUCAUUAAUCAAGAACGAAAGUCAGAGGUUCGAAGGCGAUCAGAUACCGCCCUAGUUCUGACCGUAAACGAUGCCAACUAGCGAUCCGCCGGCGGAUUUAUUCGCCCUGGUGGGGAGCUUCCCGGAAACGAAAGUCUUCCGGUUCCGGGGGAAGUAUGGUUGCAAAGCUGAAACUUAAAGGAAUUGACGGAAGGGCACCACCAGGAGUGGAGCCUGCGGCUUAAUUUGACUCAACACGGGGAAACUCACCCGGCCCGGACACCGUAAGGAUUGACAGAUUGAUAGCUUUUUCAUGAUUCGGUGGAUGGUGGUGCAUGGCCGUUCUUAGUUCGUGGAGCGAUUUGUCUGGUUUAUUCGAUAACGAGCGAGACUCUAGCCUACUAA
RNAcentral lists this ribosomal RNA (1348 nucleotides) under Heterodera glycines (soybean cyst nematode). RNAcentral describes it as "SSU rRNA". It matches the Rfam family "Eukaryotic small subunit ribosomal RNA", at positions 1 to 1354 of the family's 1831-position model. RNAcentral also lists the same sequence under 1 other name. Lineage: Eukaryota; Metazoa; Nematoda; Chromadorea; Rhabditida; Heteroderidae. The record is from RNAcentral.